RNAcentral lists this long non-coding RNA (336 nucleotides) under Chelonoidis abingdonii (Abingdon island giant tortoise). RNAcentral's name for it is "lncRNA (ENSCABG00000006051.1)". Lineage: Eukaryota; Metazoa; Chordata; Testudines; Testudinidae. The record is from RNAcentral.
AAGGAAGUGCUUGCAGCCGCCUGCGAGGGGCGGCAGUUCUCACUCCCCCGGCGCUGGGAGGAGGCUGGAGGAAGUUUGGCUCCGCUGAUACUAGCCCGGCCGGCUCAGCUCGUAGCUAAGCAGCAGCAGCAGCAGCAGCAGCUCGCGUUGCUCCUGAGCCACCGGCCGCUCACUCCAGAUCUUUCCUGAAAGAAGCUCCAGGGUCCCAUCACUACUCACUCUUCAAGCUUUUCCUCCAGUGUCCAGUGCAUAUAUUCACACUUUUGAGAAAUGAGAACAGAUGACUCUGAAGCUGUUGAAGUGGGUUGGAGAUCAUGAGUACAAAGAAACUUUUUU